AUGGAGAGUUUGAUCCUGGCUCAGGAUGAACGCUAGCGGCAGGCUUAACACAUGCAAGUCGAGGGGUAACAGAGAAAGCUUGCUUUCUGCUGACGACCGGCGCACGGGUGCGUAACGCGUAUGCAACCUACCUUAUACUGGGGAAUAGCCCGAAGAAAUUCGGAUUAAUGCCCCAUAGUAUUGUCGAUUCGCAUGUUUUGACAAUUAAAGAUUACGGUAUAAGAUGGGCAUGCGUCCCAUUAGCUAGAUGGUAAGGUAACGGCUUACCAUGGCAACGAUGGGUAGGGGGCCUGAGAGGGUGAUCCCCCACACUGGUACUGAGACACGGACCAGACUCCUACGGGAGGCAGCAG
Molecule: ribosomal RNA, 353 nt
Filed under: Favella ehrenbergii
Lineage: Eukaryota; Ciliophora; Spirotrichea; Tintinnida; Xystonellidae
Description: partial Bacterial small subunit ribosomal RNA
Rfam family: Bacterial small subunit ribosomal RNA
Source: RNAcentral